GACCCAGAUUUCCUUGAGGAUCUGAAACAGCCUAAUGCUAAAUCAGAUCCCACCCUGAUGAGGAUCUUAUCAAGGAGUGAGUUGUACCAUACUCAUCAAGAGAGCAUGUUCUGCCUGGUUUUGAUUCUUGAGGUUCAGGAGUUUGUGUGCGUGUAUUAGUUGCUCAGUCAUGUCCAACUCUUUGAGAUCUCAUGGACUGUAGCCCACCAGGCUCCUCUGUCCAUGGGAUUCUCCAGGCAAGAAUACUGGAGUGGGUUGCCACUUCCUUCUCCACUUAGGGAGAGUUUAGUCCUCUGCAACAUGAACAUAUUCAUGAUUGGCAGGAAAGGCCAUGGAUUCUUGCCUCAGGUCUAUGUCAGUGUGAUGUUUGGAAGGUUUGGCAGCUUCUGCUCAAGGUAAAAAUUCUAAAGCUUACUGCUCUUUGUAAGAAGAUAUCUUACAACAGGUAAUUAUACCUACAUUGGUAAAAUUGCCUAAGUUCCCUUCCGAUUCUCAAAAACCAGCUCUUCCUGUCAGGAAUUUCUCAGCUGAUAGAAUCCAGAUUAGACAGAAUGCUUGGCUUGGCCUAUGGAGAUCAUGAGCCUUAGGGCUAGAGGUGGCCUAGAAGACUGGGCAUUGCUUCAGGGAAACACAUGAAGCUCUUUGGCCAAAACUUUGGCCACCCGACGCAAAGAGCGAACUCAUUGGAAAAGACCAUGAUGUUGGGAAAGACUGAAGGCAAAAGAAGAGGUGGCCGAGGAUGAGGUGGUUGGAUGGCAUCAUUGACUUGACGACAUGAAUCUGAACAAACUCAGGAAGAUAGUGGAGGACAGAGGAGCCUGGCAUGCUGCAGUCUACGGGGCUGCAGAGUCAGACACGCCUUAGCGACUGAACAACAAACUACCUUGUUGUAACUACUCUUUUUCCCAGUCCAGGGCAGGGGAGGCAGCUUUACAUUUUUUGUGUGAGGAGAAAUCACUUUUCAUUGAUUCAUUGACUGAGCAUACAUUUACCGAGUAACUGCUUUAUAUUAGGAUUUGAACACACUUCACACUUCUUGCCUUUUACACAAGCAGUCUGAAGAACACAUUGCCUGGUGGAAUCACGGAAGGUUCUUUGAAAAGGUAGGUUUUAAAGAUAAAUACAAGUUUACAAGACUAAGGAUGGGGAGAAGAGGGCAAAGAGAGGAGGUAUUUUAGGCAGAGAAUGUCAAAUGGUUUAAGGUGCUGAUGCAAAGUAGGCAGAUGUGCUCAAGAAAUUGAAUUCUUAUUGAGAAGGUUUGAACACUGUAAUGACUGGUGGUGAUGGGAAGAGAGGUGCUUAAUUGUGGGAGAAUGAGUUGAAACUGUGAACAUGCAGACAGGGUCAGAAGUCAAGGGGCACCCAACAAGAUGCAGAAAGGCUCGAGGGCACAUCCAAUUGGGUGUCUCUGAGUCUUGGAAGAAUUUGCAGGUUGCGGGAAGAUUGGCUCCAAUGACAGCCAGAGACAACCCUUCUAGUCCUGGGAGAAAUCUGCAGUUUUCUAAUUACAAGAAAAGUCAUCUCACGGUUCUGAGGCUCCCCCUCACAGCACAGUGGUAAAGAAUCUGCCUGCAAUGCAGGAGACGUAAGAGAUGUAGGUUUGAUUCCUGGGUCUGGAAGAUCCCCUGAAGUAGAAAAUGGCAACCCAUUCCACUAUUCUUGCCUGGAAAAUCCCAUGGACAGAGGAGCCUGGUGGACUGUAGCCCAUGUGGGCAUGUAGUCCAUGGAGUCACAAAGAGUUGGGCAUGACUUAGCGACCUAACAACAUCUCACUGUUUUAUCCUUAAAUGACCGUUUCGUAUCAGUUAGCUAGGGAAAAACACAAUCUCAGACAACAUACCGACACUGAAGGUCUACUCCUGGGCCCCACUGGUGUUCAAAAACUACAGGCCAUGAAACCCAAGCAAUAUUAGGCCACUUCCUUUUCCAGAUGUGACCUCAGAGGUGAAUGCAAUAUCAGCAAAAAGAGCCAAAUGGAUAGCCUAAAAGGAUCAUAAAUUUUUCUUACAAGUUCAAAGCACUUACCUCAAG
Long non-coding RNA from Bos taurus (domestic cattle), 2031 nucleotides. The record is from Ensembl. Lineage: Eukaryota; Metazoa; Chordata; Mammalia; Artiodactyla; Bovidae.